Phragmites australis (common reed) is the source of this 156-nucleotide ribosomal RNA. RefSeq annotates it as 5.8S ribosomal RNA. The transcript has a single exon. Lineage: Eukaryota; Viridiplantae; Streptophyta; Magnoliopsida; Poales; Poaceae. The record is from RefSeq and is a predicted model, not a curated record.
GACUCUUGGCAAUGGAUAUCUUGGCUGUCGCAUCAAUGAAGAACAUAGCAAAAUGCGAUACUUGGUGUGAAUUGCAGAAUCCCAUGAACCAUUGAGUUUUUUAACGCAAGUUGCGCUCAAGGCUUUCUGGCCGAGGGCACGCUUGCCUAGGCAUCA